GAGGUCCUGCUGAGACCACAAGCCCUGUAGAGGUCCUGCUGAGACCACAAGUCCUGCUGAGGUCCUGCUGAGACCUCAAGUCCUGCUGAGGUCCUGCUGAGACCACAAGUCCUGCUGAGGUCCUGCUGAGACCACAAGUCCUGUAGAGGUCCUGCUGAGACCACAAGACCUUUAGAGGUCUUGCUGAGGUUGCAGGUCCUGUAGAGGUCUUGCUGA
Molecule: long non-coding RNA, 216 nt
Organism: Austrofundulus limnaeus
Lineage: Eukaryota; Metazoa; Chordata; Actinopteri; Cyprinodontiformes; Rivulidae
Exons: 2
Source: RefSeq, a predicted model, not a curated record